This 405-nucleotide ribosomal RNA is filed under the name uncultured bacterium. RNAcentral describes it as "bacterial SSU rRNA". It matches the Rfam family "Bacterial small subunit ribosomal RNA", at positions 969 to 1375 of the family's 1533-position model. The record is from RNAcentral.
CCUUACCUACUCUUGACAUCCUGCGAACUUGGUAGAGAUACCUUGGUGCCUUCGGGAACGCAGAGACAGGUGCUGCAUGGCUGUCGUCAGCUCGUGUUGUGAAAUGUUGGGUUAAGUCCCGUAACGAGCGCAACCCUUGUCCUUAGUUGCCAUCAUUUAGUUGGGGACUCUAAGGAGACUGCCGGUGACAAACCGGAGGAAGGCGGGGACGACGUCAAGUCAUCAUGGCCCUUACGAGUAGGGCUACACACGUGCUACAAUGGCAAGUACAGAGGGCCGCAAAGCCGCGAGGUGGAGCUAAUCUCACAAAGCUUGUCGUAGUCCGGAUUGGAGUCUGCAACUCGACUCCAUGAAGUCGGAAUCGCUAGUAAUCGUGAAUCAGAAUGUCACGGUGAAUACGUUCCC